UACUAAGUUUCAACAACGGAUCUCUUGGCUCUCGCAUCGAUGAAGAACGCAGCGAAAUGCGAUAAGUAAUGUGAAUUGCAGAAUUCAGUGAAUCAUCGAAUCUUUGAACGCACCUUGCGCUCCUUGGUAUUCCUUGGAGCAUGCCUGUUUGAGUA
RNAcentral lists this ribosomal RNA (155 nucleotides) under Rhizoctonia solani. Its description in RNAcentral is "5.8S rRNA". It matches the Rfam family "5.8S ribosomal RNA". From Rfam's summary of the family: 5.8S ribosomal RNA (5.8S rRNA) is a component of the large subunit of the eukaryotic ribosome. The record is from RNAcentral. Lineage: Eukaryota; Fungi; Basidiomycota; Agaricomycetes; Cantharellales; Ceratobasidiaceae.